Molecule: long non-coding RNA, 637 nt
Filed under: Cyanistes caeruleus (blue tit)
Lineage: Eukaryota; Metazoa; Chordata; Aves; Passeriformes; Paridae
Description: lncRNA (ENSCCEG00000018939.1)
Source: RNAcentral
AAUAUCCCAUCUAAACCUCCCUCUGUCAGUUUAAAAUCAUUGCCCCUCUUCCUGUCACUAUCAGCCCAUGUAAAAUGUCACUCUCCCUCCUUUUUUUACAACCCCAUUUAGGCACAGGAAGGAGCUCUCAGGUCCCCCUGGAGCCUUCUCCAGACUGAACAACCUCAGGUCUCCCAGCCUGUCUUUGUGGCAGAGGUGCUCCAGCUCCCAGAACAUCUUCAUGGCUGAUACUGCCAUGUCCCUCCCAAAAGCAGAUGUUCUCAAUGUACAACAGUCCCAGGGCUGGUGACUCUCUUUUACUCAGAGCUACAGCAGACUCGCAGAGGAGCUCUCAGGUGGUGUUAUCCAUAGGGUAACUGGAAUUUUCCUUCUCUGUAUGUGUGCACAAUGCUCAAAUCAUGUUAGGGCAGAAAUAGAGUUGUUUUGGAGAGCCUUUCCUAGGAUCUCAUUGAAGUUCCUCUGAAAGAGUUUUCCAGGAGUCCUGCUUAUAGAAAAAUUAAUCUGGUAGUAGUGACAGAAGAUGGGGAGGCAAGGGCAAGGCAGAGGGGGCUGAAAGAAGGUUGAUUUACAGAAAAACUGUAAUAGCUCAUAAGACAAGUCUUCAUCUGCAAGCCUGGAGAGAGUCAUGAGGGCUGGG